This 235-nucleotide ribosomal RNA is filed under the name uncultured Gammaproteobacteria bacterium. RNAcentral describes it as "partial 16S ribosomal RNA". It matches the Rfam family "Bacterial small subunit ribosomal RNA", at positions 817 to 1050 of the family's 1533-position model. Lineage: Bacteria; Pseudomonadati; Pseudomonadota; Gammaproteobacteria. The record is from RNAcentral.
UAUCCCCCUGUGUGCCUUGAGCACUGGGUGGCGCAGCUAACGCAUUAAGUUGACCGCCUGGGGAGUACGGCCGCAAGGUUAAAACUCAAAUGAAUUGACGGGGGCCCGCACAAGCGGUGGAGCAUGUGGUUUAAUUCGAUGCAACGCGAAGAACCUUACCUACUCUAGACAUCCACAGAACUUUUCAGAGAUGAAUUGGUGCCUUCGGGAACUGUGAGACAGGUGCUGCAUGGCU